Molecule: ribosomal RNA, 273 nt
Filed under: uncultured Staphylococcus sp.
Lineage: Bacteria; Bacillati; Bacillota; Bacilli; Caryophanales; Staphylococcaceae
Description: partial 16S ribosomal RNA
Rfam family: Bacterial small subunit ribosomal RNA
Source: RNAcentral
ACGUUAGCGGCGGACGGGUGAGUAACACGUGGGUAACCUACCUAUAAGACUGGGAUAACUUCGGGAAACCGGAGCUAAUACCGGAUAAUAUUUCGAACCGCAUGGUUCGAUAGUGAAAGGUGGUUUUGCUAUCACUUAUAGAUGGACCCGCGCCGUAUUAGCUAGUUGGUAAGGUAACGGCUUACCAAGGCGACGAUACGUAGCCGACCUGAGAGGGUGAUCGGCCACACUGGAACUGAGACACGGUCCAGACUCCUACGGGAGGCAGCAGCG